GUCUGGAUGAGGGGACCAAGAUGCAGCGUGGUCUCCCUGUCAGACUGUGCCGGUCCCUGUCACCACAAACAAAGACAAAGGUUGAAAUACCAGCCAGCGACAAGGUCCAUUCUCAAGACUGUAAAUGUCAACAUUAUGCAAAUCACUUCCAUUCCACGCAAACAAGCCUGAACCAAUCAAUGUCAAUCCCCUUUCUCCCAGCCAAUCAAUGUCAUUCCCUCUUCAGUGAGCCCAGGCCUAAUCGAAAAGCAUUGUUCUUUCAGCUCUGAAUGCCAACUCACUGAGACUGUCGUCUGUAACUUUUUCUCAACCCAUCUCUAACCUUCAGAAGUCAUCUACACAGAGCAGAGAGGAGUUCACAGUGGAUAGGAUAUAAAAGUCAUGGAGAUGAGAGAAGACAGCAGGAGAGAAGGCAGGAGAGAAGACAGCAGGAGAAGACAGGAGAGAAGACAGCAAUAGAAGGCAGGAGAGAAGACAGCAGGAGAAGACAGGAGAGAAGACAGCAAUAGAAGGCAGGAGAGAAGACAGCAGAAGAGACAGGAGAGAAGACAGCAACAGAAGACAGAAGAGAAGAUAGCAGGAGAGGACAGGAGAGAGGAUGGCAGGAGAGGACAGAAGAGAAGACAGCAGGAGAGUGUAGAAGAGAAGACAGCAGGAGAGAACAGGAGAGAAGACUUAAAUAGAAGACAGGAGAGGACAGGAGAGAAGACAACAGGAGAGUGCAGAAGAGAAGACAGCAGGAGAAGACAGGAGAAAAUAAAAAAAUAGAGGACAGGAGAGAAGACAGAAAUAGAGAACAGGAGAGAAGACAGCAGGAGAGGACAGAAGAGAAGACAGCAGGAGAGUGCAGAAGAGAAGAAAGCAGUAGAGAACAGGAGAGAAGACUUAAAUAGAAGACGGGAGAGAAGACAGCAGGAGAGGACAGAAGAGAAGACAGCAGGAGAGGACAGGAGAGAAGACAACAGGAGAGUGCAGAAGAGAAGACAGCAGGAGAGGACAGAAGAGAAGACAGCAGGAGAGUGCAGAAGAGAAGAAAGCAGGAGAGAACAGACUUAAAUAGAAGACAGGAGAGAAGACAACAGGAGAGUGCAGAAGAGAAGACAGCAGGAGAGGACAGAAGAGAAGACAACAGGAGAGGACAGAAGAGAAGACAGCAGGAGAGUACAGGAGAGAAGACAGCAGGAGUGGACAGGAGAGAAGACAGCAGGAGAGGACAGGAGAGAAGACAGAAAUAGAGAACAGGAGAGAAGACAGCAGGAGAGGACAGAAUAGAAGACAGCAGGAGAGUGUAGAAGAGAAGACAGCAGGAGAAGACAGGAGAAAAUAAAAAAAUAGAGGACAGGAGAGAAGACAGCAGGAGAGGACAGGAGAGAAGACAACAGGAGAGGACAGAAUAGAAGACAGCAGGAGAGUGCAGAAGAGAAGAAAUCAGGAGAGAACAGGAGAGAAGACUUAAAUAGAAGACAGGAGAGAAGACAGCAGGAGAGGACAGAAGAGAAGACAGCAGGAGAGGACAGGAGAGAAGACAACAGGAGAGUGCAGAAGAGAAGACAGCAGGAGAGGACAGAAGAGAAGACAGCAGGAGAGUACAGAAGAUAAGACAGCAGGAGGGGACAGAAAAGAAGACAGCAGGAGAGUGCAGAAGAGAAGAAAGCAGGAGAGAACAGGAGAGAAGACUUAAAUAGAAGACAGGAGAGAAGACAGCAGGAGAGGACAGGACUGUGACUGUCCUUUUAUUGUGAUGGAUGUUUGGAUAGUCCUCACUUUUACUGUCGAAAUCUCAAGAAUGACGAAAACUGUCUGUCGUUCUGUUUUGUCUGUUUCUGUCUGUCUGUCCGCCUGUUUAUCUGUUUGUCCCCCCGUCCAUCUGUAUGUCUGUCUGAUGCCACUAAGUCUCUGUUAAAGCUUUGUUAAUUGGCUCUGAAUGUGGCUUUUAUGAUUAAUGAAACCUCAAGUGUUAUCAGUCCAGCCAUCAUGUCCAACAAUGAAUCACCUUCACACUCACCAUGGACGCAAGACAGAGGAGGAGAGAGGAAGAAGAGACAUAGAUGGGAGAGGGAGACAGAGAGAGGUUAAGUGAAAAAGUGAGGUAAACAUAACGUGAUAGACUGAAUGAAAAAGAGACAGAGAGAGACAGAGAGAGACAGAGAGAGACAGAGAGACGGAGAGAGAGAGAGAGAGAGAGAGAGAGAGAGACAGAGAGAGAGAGACAGAGAGAGAGAGACAGAGAGAGAGAGACAGAGAGAGAGAGACGGAGAGAGACAGACAUUGGGAGAGUGUAAAAGGAGAGAGGGAACAUGAUAGAACAAAAAAGCAAUUCCCUCCGUCCAUGAUGAAUGCUACUAGAUAAGGCUUUCCCCAGAUAGUUUCUCUAACUUGGCCUGUCUCUAACCUGGCCCGUCUCUAACAUGGCCCGCCUCAACCUGGCAUGUCUGUAACCCAGCCUGUCUGUAACCCGGCCUGUCUCGAACAUGGCCUGUCUCUAACAUGGCCUGUCUCUAACCCAGCCUGUCUCUAACCCGACCUGUCUCUAACCCGGCCUGUCUCUAACCCGACCUGUCUCUAACCCGGCCUGUCUCGAACAUGGCCUGUCUCUAACCUGGC
Molecule: long non-coding RNA, 2604 nt
Filed under: Salmo salar (Atlantic salmon)
Lineage: Eukaryota; Metazoa; Chordata; Actinopteri; Salmoniformes; Salmonidae
Description: lncRNA (ENSSSAG00000087220.1)
Source: RNAcentral